RNAcentral lists this ribosomal RNA (1421 nucleotides) under uncultured bacterium. RNAcentral's name for it is "partial 16S rRNA". It matches the Rfam family "Bacterial small subunit ribosomal RNA". The record is from RNAcentral.
GACGAACGCUGGCGGCGUGCUUAACACAUGCAAGUCGAACGGUAAGGCCCCUUCGGGGGUACACGAGUGGCGAACGGGUGAGUAACACGUGAGCAACCUGCCCUUGACACUGGAAUAACAGUUGGAAACAGCUGCUAAUACCGGGUAUGACCUGUCACCGCAUGGUGGUGGGUGGAAAGCCCUGGCGGUCAAGGAUGGGCUCGCGGCCUAUCAGCUAGUUGGUGAGGUAAUGGCUCACCAAGGCUUCGACGGGUAGCCGGCCUGAGAGGGCGACCGGCCACACUGGGACUGAGAUACGGCCCAGACUCCUACGGGAGGCAGCAGUGGGGAAUAUUGCACAAUGGGCGAAAGCCUGAUGCAGCAACGCCGCGUGCGGGAUGACGGCCUUCGGGUUGUAAACCGCUUUCAGUGGGGACGAAGCUAACGUGACGGUACCUACAGAAGAAGCACCGGCCAACUACGUGCCAGCAGCCGCGGUGAUACGUAGGGUGCGAGCGUUGUCCGGAAUUAUUGGGCGUAAAGGGAUUGUAGGCGGUUCGUCGCGUCGAAAGUGAAAACUCAGGGCUCAACCCUGAGCCUGCUUUCGAAACGGGCGGACUAGAGGUAUGCAGGGGAGAACGGAAUUCCUGGUGGAGCGGUGGAAUGCGCAGAUAUCCGGAGGAACACCGGUGGCGAAGGCGGUUCUCUGGGUCUUACCUGACGCUGAGAAGCGAAAGCGUGGGGAGCAAACAGGCUUAGAUACCCUGGUAGUCCACGCCGUAAACGAUGGAUGCCAGACGUGGGGGGGCUUGCCCGUUCGGUGUCACACCUAACGGAUUAAGCGUUCCGCCUGGGGAGUACGGUCGCAAGGUUAAAACUCAAAGGAAUUGACGGGGGCCCGCACAAGCGGUGGAGCAUGUGGUUUAAUUCGAAGCAACGCGCAGAACCUUACCAAGCCUUGACAUGCCCUGACUGGCCUGGAGACAGGUCUUCCCCGCAAGGGGCAGGGACACAGGUGCUGCAUGGCUGUCGUCAGCUCGUGUCGUGAGAUGUUCGGUUAAGUCCGGCAACGAGCGCAACCCACACCCUCAGUUGCCAGCAGGUCAAGCUGGGCACUCUGGGGGAACUGCCCGUGAUAAGCGGGAGGAAGGUGUGGAUGACGUCAAGUCCUCAUGGCCCUUACGGGUUGGGCUACACACGUGCUACAAUGGUGGUGACAGAGGGUUUAUCCCCAAAAGCCAUCUCAGUUCGGAUUGUCGUCUGCAACUCGACGGCAUGAAGUCGGAAUCGCUAGUAAUCGCGCAUCAGCUCGGCGCGGUGAAUACGUUCCCGGGCCUUGUACACACCGCCCGUCACACCAUGGGAGUUGGGUUGACCCGAAGACGGUGCGCCGACCUCGCAAGAGGGGGCAGCCGGCCACGGUCAGUUCAGCGACUGGGGUG